GCAUGUAUUAGGUUGGUGCAAAAGUAAUCGCAGUUUUUGCCAUUGAAAGUAAUGGCAAAACCACAAUUACUUUUGCACCAACCUA
RNAcentral lists this microRNA precursor (85 nucleotides) under Gorilla gorilla gorilla (western lowland gorilla). Its description in RNAcentral is "miRNA (ENSGGOG00000033951.2)". The record is from RNAcentral. Lineage: Eukaryota; Metazoa; Chordata; Mammalia; Primates; Hominidae.